Molecule: ribosomal RNA, 517 nt
Filed under: uncultured bacterium
Lineage: Bacteria
Description: bacterial SSU rRNA
Rfam family: Bacterial small subunit ribosomal RNA (bases 197-516)
Source: RNAcentral
CACAUGCAAGUCGAGCGGGGAGACUUUUCGGCACCGGCUAUUGAGGCGGGCGGAGGCGCGAGGGCGAAGGAAGCGGAAGCGGAACAAACGCGGGGAACUGCGGAUGGGACGAGGAAGCGGAGAUUGCGGGCGCAGGCGCAAGGGAACGGAACCGAGGCAAUGCCAAGGGGAAGGGACCAAGGGGUCACAAGAGCGGGUGCUGAGAAGACUUCCAGCGGCGGACGGGUGAGUAACGCGUGAACAAUCUGUCCCAGACAGGGGGAUAACAGAUGGAAACAUCUGCUAAUACCGCAUAAGACCACGUGCCCGCAUGGGUGUGGGGUAAAAGGAGCAAUCCGGUUUGGGGUGAGUUCGCGUCUGAUUAGCUAGUUGGUGAGGUAACGGCCCACCAAGGCGACGAUCAGUAGCCGACCUGAGAGGGUGAUCGGCCACACUGGAACUGAGAAACGGUCCAGACUCCUACGGGAGGCAGCAGUGGGGAAUAUUGGGCAAUGGGCGAAAGCCUGACCCAGCAACG